RNAcentral lists this ribosomal RNA (369 nucleotides) under Synchytrium sp. Its description in RNAcentral is "partial small subunit ribosomal RNA". It matches the Rfam family "Eukaryotic small subunit ribosomal RNA", at positions 587 to 975 of the family's 1831-position model. Lineage: Eukaryota; Fungi; Chytridiomycota; Chytridiomycetes; Synchytriales; Synchytriaceae. The record is from RNAcentral.
AGCUCCAAUAGCGUAUAUUAAAGUUGUUGCAGUUAAAAAGCUCGUAGUCGAACUUUGGGUGAAGCUACCUGGUCGGUCAAUUUGGCUGUACUAGAGUGCGGAUCCUUUUUCCUGGGGGACUAUUGCUUUGCGAUAGGAUUCCAGGGUUUUACUUUGAAGAAAUUAGAGUGUUUAAGGCAGGCAUGUGCUUGAAUACAUUAGCAUGGAAUAAUAGAAUAGGACUUUGGUUUUAUUUUGUUGGUUUUAAAGACCAGAGUAAUGAUUAAUAGGGAUAGUUGGGGGCAUUAGUAUUUAAGAGUCAGAGGUGAAAUUCUUGGAUUUCUUAAAGACUAACUACUGCGAAAGCAUUUGCCAAGGAUGUUUUCAUUG